Molecule: ribosomal RNA, 539 nt
Filed under: Pareiorhaphis hystrix
Lineage: Eukaryota; Metazoa; Chordata; Actinopteri; Siluriformes; Loricariidae
Description: partial small subunit ribosomal RNA
Rfam family: Bacterial small subunit ribosomal RNA
Source: RNAcentral
CCGGGGACGAGGAGCUGGCAUCAGGCACACCAGAUGGCCCAAGACGCCUUGCUCAGCCACACCCCCAAGGGAAUUCAGCAGUAAUAAACAUUAAGCCAUAAGUGAAAACUUGACUUAGUUAGGGUUAAGAGGGCCGGUAAAAUUCGUGCCAGCCACCGCGGUUAUACGAAAGACCCUAGUUUAUAGGCACGGCGUAAAGGGUGGUUAUGGGACAGACAAAAUAAAGCUAAAGACCCCCAGAGCCGUCAUACGCCCACGGGGGCGCGAAACCCAAAUACGAAAGUAGCUUUACCAAACAAAUGCCCGACCCCACGAAAGCUGAGAAACAAACUGGGAUUAGAUACCCCACUAUGCCCAGCCUUAAACCUAGAUGAAAACUUACAAAACCAUCCGCCCGGGGACUACAAGCACAGCUUAAAACCCAAAGGACUUGGCGGUGCCUCAGACCCACCUAGAGGAGCCUGUUCUAGAACCGAUAACCCCCGUUAAACCUCACCACCUCUUGUUUUCCCCGCCUAUAUACCGCCGUCGUCAGCUUA